Molecule: ribosomal RNA, 141 nt
Filed under: uncultured Thauera sp.
Lineage: Bacteria; Pseudomonadati; Pseudomonadota; Betaproteobacteria; Rhodocyclales; Zoogloeaceae
Description: partial 16S ribosomal RNA
Rfam family: Bacterial small subunit ribosomal RNA
Source: RNAcentral
AGGGGUUGCCAAGCCGCGAGGUGGAGCCAAUCCCUUAAAGCCGAUCGUAGUCCGGAUCGUAGUCUGCAACUCGACUACGUGAAGUCGGAAUCGCUAGUAAUCGCAGAUCAGCAUGCUGCGGUGAAUACGUUCCCGGGUCUU